UACUGAAUAACAAUGCAAACAUAAACAUACAACACAACAUGGAAAAAUUUACCUUACUCCGAUUAUCUCUGUUAUCGUAUUUUGUGCGAGGAUAAAGAUUGAUUGGAAAAAGUAAAUGGACUAUCCACAUUCUUGCCCGCACCUUAAAAUGCGGGCUUUUUUUAUCAAAU
This 170-nucleotide non-coding RNA is filed under the name Mannheimia haemolytica M42548. Its description in RNAcentral is "Actinobacillus sRNA 14". It matches the Rfam family "Actinobacillus sRNA 14". Rfam says of the family: Arrc stands for Actinobacillus pleuropneumoniae Regulatory RNA Candidate. May control the expression of ferric permease (gene afuB2) and ferredoxin (fdx). The record is from Rfam by way of RNAcentral. Lineage: Bacteria; Pseudomonadati; Pseudomonadota; Gammaproteobacteria; Pasteurellales; Pasteurellaceae.